This 1125-nucleotide long non-coding RNA is filed under the name Vombatus ursinus (common wombat). RNAcentral's name for it is "lncRNA (ENSVURG00010018514.1)". The record is from RNAcentral. Lineage: Eukaryota; Metazoa; Chordata; Mammalia; Diprotodontia; Vombatidae.
CUACUGAGGACUCGCCCCCAUGAUGAAGCUCUGUCUGCCUGCCUUGUUUCUGUUGGCUGCGCUAUAUGUGAAUUUUGUCAACUCAAUCAACCCAAACCAAAUCCUGGUGAUGAAGUCCUGUGCCCCGAUGUGCCCAAACAGCACCAUUUCAACUGAUGGACAUGCCAUUUCUGGAUGCAAUGGGAAGGCGGAGACAGAUGCUUCUGCUAGCCUAGUUAUAAGUCGAGGGGUUCUGUGGGUGGGUGUCUCCACCAGCCUCCUAUGGGUGCUCCUCCAAGCUUCCUGGUGAGGAGAUUUUUCUUGUCCUUACCCCCUUGACUUUCCCUAAAGUCUUCUUUCCCAAGAUCUCUUCACUCAGGACAGAACCUCCAACACCAAAGGACAGAUUUCCUCCCAGGAAAAUAGGCCCACAGGACAGGGUCUUGCUCCUUCCCCCAGUUUCUGCAGGGAAUCCAGAAGGGACACUCUGUCCAGUGGCCUGGAUCCUUGGGUAUGAGCUUGGCCAACUCCCAGUAUUACCAUUUCUCUUUUACCUUUCCUCUUCGCUUUCUUACCUGGGAUGCUGAUCUUUUCCCUGCUGUUUUUCUGCCCCUUGAGGAUAGAAAAAAAUUUUCCAUUUGGGGGUGAACAGCCACACUUGGAAGGGGGAGGGAAGAGGUCAUGGGGGAAUUGUGAAAUUUUAAUGUUUUAAUUAAAUAAUCACUUCCUUCUUUCUUCUUUUCUACCUCUGUCCUACUCAACAUCAAAUCCUCUUCCCUUCUUUAAUCCUUGGGAGGCUUAAGAUAACCCCCCUCAAGGCUAGUUAGGGUGGAUGACCUGAUUAAAGGAGGCCUCACUAAAAAGAGCAGCUUUUAAUCAUGCCCCCUUUUUAAAUGGGAUCACCUCAUCAUCACAUGACCAUGUGGCUUGGAGAUGGGAUGGGGGAUGGAGAUGAAAGGUACAUGAUUUCCUCGAACCCAUCCUAUGAGCAAUAUUUGGAGGGGGGAGGAUAGAAGCAUAUCAGGCAUUAAGUUUUCCCUAAAUGAAAAUAGAAUGAGGAACUGGGGUUAGGGUGAAGGUGCCACAUUACCUGAAUCAGAGAUGUGCCUACCUACCUCACAGGGCUGUUGUGAGAGGAAAAACAAU